Molecule: ribosomal RNA, 351 nt
Filed under: uncultured bacterium
Lineage: Bacteria
Description: bacterial SSU rRNA
Rfam family: Bacterial small subunit ribosomal RNA
Source: RNAcentral
AAUCAACGCUGGCGGCGUGCCUCAGACAUGCAAGUCGAACGCGAAAGUUCCCUUCGGGGGGAUGAGUAGAGUGGCGCACGGGUGAGUAACACGUAGGUAAUCUACCUUUGGAUGGGGAAUAACAACCGGAAACGGUUGCUAAUACCGCAUAAUGCAGCGGCACCUAAUGGUGACAGUUGUUAAAGCGGGGGGAUCGAAAGACCUCGCGUCUGAAGAGGAGCCUGCGGCGGAUUAGCAGUUGGUAAGGUAACGGCUUACCAAGGCGACGAUCCGUAGCCGGCCUGAGAGGGCGGUCGGCCACACUGACACUGACAUACGGGUCAGACUCCUACGGGAGGCAGCAGUCGGGAA